GUCGCGCCGGGGCCGCCGGGGCCACGGGGCUGCCUCCUCCGCCUAGAGCGCUGCCGCCGCCGCUUUCGCCCGGGAGCCGGGGGCCGGGCGCCAUCAUGCUGAGCCGGCUCGGGGCGCUGCUGCAGGAAGCCGUGGGGGCGGUGAGGCCGGCAGGGCCGGGCCGGGCCGCCGGGAGUCGCGGGCCUAGGCCGGGCUGGGCGGGCGCGGAGCCGGGCGCGGCCCGCAGGAGGGCGGGCGGGCGCGGGCCCCCUCGGGCAGGGACCCCCGGGCCGCGGCGCCCCUUCCUCUGCCUCCCCGGCCGCGCCCCGCUUCCCCUCGCUCUUCCCAGUCCCGCUCCCAGACUCCUCCCGACCGCCCCACCUCCCCGGCCUGCUCCCGCGUCGCUUCCUGUCUGUGCGUCCUGGCCCCGGAGUCUCUCCCAAUUCCCGAACUCGCCUCCGCCGGGACGCUCCCUGUCACCGCUUGGGGUGUUUCCUGCCCCCCGGGGCCCUAGGCCGCCUCCCCCCAGUCCCGGUGGGCCUGCCUCCUUCCUCCGCUCCACCCCACCGCCUCGCCUGGGCUUGAAAAAAUCGCCGUCCCUUCCCCUCGGUCUGAUCUCCCAGACAACUCCAGGACCUUGUUGGGGUGCAGGACGCCCUUCCCGUCACCCCGGGACGUGGGAAGUGCAGGCCCUGCCGGUCCAAGUCCCCACGAAGGCGCGAGCCCAGCAUUGACCUGCUGCAGGCCUUCGUGGAGCACUGGAAGGGCAUCACGCACUACUACAUCGAGAGCACAGGUGCGGCCUGGCCCUCCCCAGCCCAGGGACCCUGGAGGGAGCGGGGAGGAAGGAGUGUGCAGAGUGUCACCAUUCAGGUGUCCUGGGAAAGGUAACCUGCCCAGUCGUUCAGAAUUGGAGCCGAGUUCACGGAGACAGAGAACCAGACAGACAGAAGACCCAGAGCCCUGGGCCACUCCACUCCUGAUGAUUUAGCUGCCGGUCCCACUCUGACCUUUUGGAAAGAGGCUGUGUGAGGAAGGAGUAGCCUGGUUGGGGGUCUCACUGGCCUGACUCUGCAAGGAAGAGGUGGCUGCACUUCCCCCAGCUUCCAGCUCCAGACCUUCAGGCCCCAGGUGCUUGUGCCUAGGAUUUAAUGAUC
Molecule: long non-coding RNA, 1136 nt
Filed under: Homo sapiens (human)
Lineage: Eukaryota; Metazoa; Chordata; Mammalia; Primates; Hominidae
Description: long non-coding RNA NONHSAT215538.1
Source: RNAcentral